AUUGAACGCUGGCGGCAUGCCUUACACAUGCAAGUCGAACGGCAGCGGACCUUCGGGUGCCGGCGAGUGGCGAACGGGUGAGUAAUAUAUCGGAACGUACCUUUCAGUGGGGGAUAACGUAGCGAAAGUUACGCUAAUACCGCAUAUUCUGUGAGCAGGAAAGCAGGGGAUCGCAAGACCUUGCGCUGAUUGAGCGGCCGAUAUCAGAUUAGCUAGUUGGUGAGGUAAAGGCUCACCAUGGCGACGAUCUGUAGCGGGUCUGAGAGGAUGAUCCGCCACACUGGAACUGAGACACGGUCCAGACUCCUACGGGAGGCAGCAGUGGGGAAUUUUGGACAAUGGGCGCAAGCCUGAUCCAGCCAUGCCGCGUGAGUGAAGAAGGCCU
Molecule: ribosomal RNA, 385 nt
Filed under: uncultured bacterium
Lineage: Bacteria
Description: bacterial SSU rRNA
Rfam family: Bacterial small subunit ribosomal RNA
Source: RNAcentral